This 2699-nucleotide long non-coding RNA is filed under the name Homo sapiens (human). RNAcentral describes it as "HSALNT0038489". The record is from RNAcentral. Lineage: Eukaryota; Metazoa; Chordata; Mammalia; Primates; Hominidae.
UUUUAACUUCUGCCCUCUAGAACCGUAAGGUAAUAAAUUUGUGUUGUUUUCAGCCACCAAGUGUGUUACAAACUGUUGCAACCACAACAGGAAACCAAGACAGCCUCUCUCAUAAAGGCAAGCGGUAGCAGAAGGGCUAAAGGUCGCAAAUCUAGUGUGGUUUUGUGGAAUGUUUGUCAAAUAUUAUGUCUCACCUUUGGUCUUCAGACAAAACUCUUCAAUAACAGGAAAAGCCUCAUUGGAUUCUGUUUUAUUAGGCAGAAGGAGGUUCUUGGAAGGACAGCAUUAAGAAGUUCAUAGAAUUAAUGAACCACUAUAAAACCAGGCCGGGUUACAGAGAGAACUAAGAAAGCUGCAGAGCUCAAAAAAACAGGAAGAUUGUGCUCACAGAGAGCCCACUUAGGUGAAUGUAUCCCACCUUCUAAAUCUACCCAACUGGAGGGCAGGGAUGCAAGUCUUCUGUUAUCCACGGUGGGAGCCAGGCACCUGGAUUCACUAUCACACCAAGACCUGAUGGAAGGAAGGCAUGGGGAUGGAUGCUGAGUGCCCAAACACUGGUGAGGAGAUCUGAAGAGACUACGGAGGUAAAAGGGACAGAAGACCAAGAAGGUAAGCAGUGGAGAGAAGGGAGCAGGAGAAAGGCAGUGAAAGAGGGACAAAUAGGAGCCUAGGGAGAAUGCUGAACACGAGCUCCCCACCUCUCCUGCUUGCUCAGGGCUAGUCUCAGGAGACCUCAACCCCUGCAGUUUGGCUUUGCAAUAAUUCAACUCAAUUACAUAGAUUUAUAUCCAGAAAAAAAAACAGAAGUAGACUCUUUUUAUUAAUUAUAUUAAUGCAAUGAGAAUAUAUGUGGCUUAUUUCUCUCUUCAGUAGGACUAUUACUUUUUUGCUGUCUUUUGCAAAUCUCCACUCCUAGUCCUUUGAAUCGCCAUCUAGAGAAAGGGAAUGCUGUAUUUUAACAUUGCUGAAGGCACAGUUUGACCUUUAAAUCACAUUAUUUAAAUAUUAAUGACAUAGCAGGAAAGCAGCCUACUGACAGGUGUUAUACAAGUCAGACCAAAUAGGACACUAAAUCUGUGAGUGCCUUUGAAACGCCCAUUAGAGAUAAUGAGGAAUAGACAUGUAUUUCCACACAUUGUCCAGCACUAGUUUGUUCCACCUCCAGUCAGAAUAAAUUAACUGAACAUGGUGUUUGACAGGAAAGAAAUCACUAUUCUUCCUUCAAAAUGCUGCUUAAUGACUUCUGCAGCUCCACGUGAUAAUAACAGGAAAGGAUCUGUUUGUUUCUCAGACUUUGAAGCGAUGACACAUUGCUUGCUAGGGCUGGAUUUCACACUGAAGAAUGACAGCAGAAGCCUUGCCUCACAAAAGGCACCAAACAGACCUUCCUACCUGCCCACGUUUUCCGUCUCGCUUGACAGCACCAGGUACUCCCGAGUCACGGUAUAUGUUUCUUGGAUACUUUAGUUGGAAACUGAGACAUCACAGGCUGCUAGGACUUAUCCUUCCUAAGACACCCAUUGAAUUAGGACAUCUCAGCUCUCAUUCCAAAUACCCCAGGCCAAGGUUUUCUCAACCUCAGCACAACCAACAUUUGGAGUUGGAUAGUUCCAGCUGUAACAACCAAAACUGUCUCCAGACAUUGCUAAUGUCUCCUGAGGUGAGGGCAAAAUGGCCCCCAGUUGAGAACCUCUGGCUUAGGCAAAUUUAUUAAUUAUAUACCUCAGUGAUAUGGUGGGGCGUGCAACAAUUUACCUCUAACCUUUCAGGGUUUUUCAGCUGGGCCUGAAAAUAAAAUUGACGUAAGACAGAUCAACAGGGAAAAAGCAUGCAAAUUUAUUUAAUACAAGCUUUAUAUUGCACAGGAACCUUUGUGUGAAGACACGAAGUUGCAGUAAGAGACAAACGUACACCAAAAUAAACAGAGUAGCAAAUUAUAAAACUGUGACAAUGCAAAGGGCUUGGGCUUGGGCUGGAGUAGUCAGUUGGGUAGAGCAGUGGCUAGGAGGAUAAAAUUAGCCAAAAACGGUUUGCUCAGAUUUCCCUCAGCCUCAACUUCUCAUCCUUGAUGGUAAGAAUGAUGCUUUCAUUCUAACAUAGGGAGGACAUCUUUCGCCUGGGAGUUUCAUCUCCUGCUUUUAAGAAACAGAAGGAUGGUCAGAGUGAUCUCGCACCUGUUGUUUUUCAAACGCCUUUGACUCAAAAUAAUCAAUUUGCCAGAGUGGCAUAUUUUUAACCUCUUCAGUAUCCUUAUGUGGCUUCACAGCUGUUCAAAGUUGUUAUUUCAUAACCCAACAGGCUGGACAAUUCACCUGCUGAUUAAAGUUAACAUAUUCUUCAUGGCACUCUGGGUCAUAAAAGGGAAUUAAAGUUGUGAUGGGAUGCAUGAGACCAGGAGGAUGACUCUGAUUCAGUCCCCUAAGAUGGAACUAAGAGAAGCAGUCCAUAAGUCUUGGGGGAAUUCUCUCUCUACCAUUGUGUAUCUGACGUAUUGUUUUAACAGCCAUGUAAAAUUGGAUCUGACUCUACUUACUCCAGAAAUAAUAUUUGUUGAUCACAGGGCACUACACAAUGAUUCAUGGUACAGACAAUCUGGUUGUCAUAUUUUCAUGUUUGCCAGACACUGUUGCUUCAAACCACUUGUACCCUUGAUAAAUGAAAGUGUGUGUGAAUCUCCCAAAAGUAUGUUAAAUAAACAC